AUUGAACGCUGGCGGCAGGCCUAACACAUGCAAGUCGAACGAGUGGCGGACGGGUCAGUAAUGUCUGGGACACUGCCUGAUGGAGGGGGAACACUACUGGAAACGGUAGCUCAUACCGCAUACCAUCAGACUUGCCCAGAUGGGAUUAGCUUGUUGGUGGGGUAACGGCUCACCAAGGCGCCGACCCCUAGCUGGUCUGAGAGGAUGACCAGCAACACUGGCACUAAGACAGGGUCCGGACGCCUAAGGGAGGCAGCAGUGGGGAAUAUGGGACAAUGGUCGCAAGCCUGAUGCAGCCCUGCCGCGUGUAUGAAGAAGGCCUACGGGUUGUAAAGUACUUUCAGCGGGGAUGCGUUACCCCCAGAAGAAGCCCCGGCCAACUCCGUUCCAGCAGCCGCGGUAAUUC
Molecule: ribosomal RNA, 406 nt
Filed under: uncultured bacterium
Lineage: Bacteria
Description: partial 16S ribosomal RNA
Rfam family: Bacterial small subunit ribosomal RNA
Source: RNAcentral